Molecule: ribosomal RNA, 253 nt
Filed under: uncultured bacterium
Lineage: Bacteria
Description: partial 16S ribosomal RNA
Rfam family: Bacterial small subunit ribosomal RNA
Source: RNAcentral
UACGUAGGGGGCAAGCGUUAUCCGGAUUUACUGGGUGUAAAGGGAGCGUAGACGGCUGUGCAAGCCAGAUGUGAAAGCCCGGGGCUCAACCCCGGGACUGCAUUUGGAACUGUGUAGCUGGAGUGUCGGAGAGGCAGGCGGAAUUCCUAGUGUAGCGGUGAAAUGCGUAGAUAUUAGGAGGAACACCAGUGGCGAAGGCGGUCUGCUGGACGAUGACUGACGUUGAGGCUCGAAAGCGUGGGGAGCAAACAGG